RNAcentral lists this ribosomal RNA (398 nucleotides) under Macrocerca sp. W01. Its description in RNAcentral is "partial large subunit ribosomal RNA". The record is from RNAcentral. Lineage: Eukaryota; Metazoa; Arthropoda; Insecta; Blattodea; Blattidae.
CUCUUCUUGUAUUAAUAUUUGAAGUAUAACCUGCCCACUGAUUAUUUAAAGGGCCGCGGUAUUUUGACCGUGCAAAGGUAGCAUAAUCAUUAGUCUUUUAAUUGGAGACUGGAAUGAAUGGUUGGACGAGAAAUGAACUGUUUCUUAAAAAAUUAUUGAAUUUAAAAAUUAAGUUAAAAUGCUUAAAUUUUAUUUUGGGACGAGAAGACCCUAUAGAGUUUUAUAUUAUUUAUAAUUUUUUUGUUUGUAAGUAGAAUUUUAUUAUUAUAGAUUUUAUUUUGUUGGGGCGAUAGAAAAGAAUUGUUAAACUCUUUCUUUUAUUUUUAUAUUUAUUUAUAAAUUUUUGAUCCAUAUUUUUAUGAUUAUAAGACUAAAUUACCUUAGGGAUAACAGCGUAA